This 301-nucleotide ribosomal RNA is filed under the name uncultured bacterium. Its description in RNAcentral is "partial 16S ribosomal RNA". It matches the Rfam family "Bacterial small subunit ribosomal RNA", at positions 509 to 807 of the family's 1533-position model. The record is from RNAcentral.
CAGUAGCCGCGGGAAUACCGAGGAUGCAAGCGUUGUCCGGAAUUAUUGGGCGUAAAGGGCUCGCAGGCGGUUUCUUAAGUCUGAUGUGAAAGCCCCCGGCUCAACCGGGGAGGGUCAUUGGAAACUGGGAAACUUGAGUGCAGAAGAGGAGAGUGGAAUUCCACGUGUAGCAGUGAAAUGCGUAGAGAUGUGGAGGAACACCAGUGGCGAAGGCGACUCUCUGGUCUGUAACUGACGCUGAGGAGCGAAAGCGUGGGGAGCGAACAGGAUUAGAUACCCCUGUAGUCCCUGUCUCUUAUAC